RNAcentral lists this ribosomal RNA (301 nucleotides) under uncultured bacterium. Its description in RNAcentral is "partial 16S ribosomal RNA". It matches the Rfam family "Bacterial small subunit ribosomal RNA", at positions 509 to 807 of the family's 1533-position model. The record is from RNAcentral.
CAGUAGCCGCGGUAAUACGGAGGGAGCUAACGUUGUUCGGAAUUACUGGGCGUAAAGCGCGCGUAGGCGGUUACUCAAGUCAGAGGUGAAAGCCCGGGGCUCAACCCCGGAACUGCCUUUGAAACUAGGUGACUAGAAUCUUGGAGAGGUCAGUAGAAUUCCGAGUGUAGAGGUGAAAUUCGUAGAUAUUCGGAAGAACACCAGUGGCGAAGGCGACUGACUGGACAAGUAUUGACGCUGAGGUGCGAAAGCGUGGGGAGCAAACAGGAUUAGAUACCCCCGUAGUCCCUGUCUCUUAUAC